AACUCUGAUGAUGAUUAAUAACACUUUCGCCUUUGCUGAGAUUAUAGUAUGCGGAGAAACCAUUGGAGACCUGAGCUGAGGAGUU
This is a small nucleolar RNA of Salvia hispanica, 85 nucleotides long. RefSeq annotates it as small nucleolar RNA Z159/U59. NCBI's taxonomy places the organism in Eukaryota, Viridiplantae, Streptophyta, Magnoliopsida, Lamiales, Lamiaceae. The record is from RefSeq and is a predicted model, not a curated record.